UGCUUUAUUCAGUCAUGAAGAUGAAGUGAGUUUGUUUAUCUAGUUUAAAAAACAAACAAAACAAAACAAAAACAAAACAGCAAAUGAAGUCUUUCUCCUCUAAAUGUAAUGUCCUUCUCCAAAACUACACAGUGCACCUAGAAGCCCAUGUGGACAAAACAAAUAAUGUCUCACAAACCUUUAUGAAUCCCUGUGUGACUCUACAAAUCUACGUUUUAUCGAAACCAGGUUCGAGUCUCUCCAUGUACCGAUCAAUGUAAACCCGCAGCUCAGGGUAGAUACACACAUGCAACCACAGCUCACUAACUAUCUGAGCUUUCACAUAGAUCAUAUGAGGUGAACUACAAAAGGGCCUGCAUGCGCCUCCAAAUUCAUAAGCAGAUCUAGUUUCAUAGAACAAGGUAAUCCAGUGCAGGUUUUCUUCCUCUGCUGCAUCGUGCCACAUGUUGCAAUCCUUGCACAAAAGAUAACUGUCACUUGUGCAGCGUCUAUCAGAUAAAAAAAAAAAAAAGAAAAAAAGAAGAAAAUCACCGCCACAGACUGUAGUAGCCUGCAAGUUAACACCUUUUUUGCAGAGAAGCCUGACAGCUCUAAAUCUGAUUAUCAACAGCAACGAGCGAUAGAUGGGCUGCAUGUGUGCUCCCAUGCUGCAAAGCUGUCAUACUCAAUCAGGCGACUGGGCUAUUUCAAACAAGAUGGACUGAAAAAUAAAAAAUAAAAAAAAAAAACGUGCAAACUUUAGUAGAUGGAGAGCAGAUAAAUCAGGUAAAUUCCACAUGGCUGUCAGGGAUCCAUCCAGCUCUCCACCCUCCACAUCCACACGUGUUGGAUGCUAGUUGAGAGGGACUGUUUAACACACUGUGACACACCAACUAAGCAAGAAAAGAAAGAUAUCCAAGGGAAGCUACAAACGAUGUCGUGUUCAACAUAAGUGGCACAUGUAUUAGUUAAAAACACAUCUUGGUGAAAGCUACCAGACGGCACGCACGUUUUGUACUCGCUGUGGUAACAGUUAGAGAGCAACAAGCUAGGCCUACCCAGGGCAGGCGGCCAUGCUCACAUAGCUCUUUUUUUUAGUGGACAGUAAGCGGACUCAUAAGUGAGAAGGGGUGCUUCUCGUCCUUUUUAUGUACUCAUGUGAGGAACAUACGCAGUCGCUACAGCUAAAUAAACCCGUAUUUAACAACAGAAGACCCCCAGUCGUAUCCAGCAUCCUUAAAGCAAGGCAGCGAGCCAAGAAUACGGGAAAGGAGAGAGCAACAUAGGGGAGAAUUUCAAGACGUGCACAAAAGGGUUCCUGAACGGAGGAGCUUGGUCCAUCUUCUUCCCAUCUCCUUCCAUCGCACACUGUCUGUUCGUCGGCAGCCUCAUCCUCACAAGAAGUAACGUCCGUCGAGAUUGCAGCUAUGUGCCUAAUAAUUCAAAACAGAGAACUGCUUCAGUCUGAAUGGAAGAGUCUUCACGCAGAACGCAGUUCCCCCCUGUCUGUCUUGCACGGUGGCUAAUUGAGGUGGCAGUGCAGGGUUAUUACUGCUAUCUUUCCUACGCGGACAGCAUGGAGGGAUAAUGGUUAGCUCAAGGAUUAGCUGGGGAUAUGUCAAGUCGCCGAUAUCUUUGUGCCUACAGUGCGCAGGACGCCUUCCUCCACGCACCGUGUUCCCCCCAACCAGUCCGCUAGCUCUGGAUGCUAACGGAGCCACGAUUCCUCUGCUCUGACAGCGCGCAUGCGCAGGACACAUCCCUCGUAUCCUAGCACGAUGUGAUGCUGCCUUCAAAAUUAUCCAAAAUAUCGUAAUUUAAAUUACAAUAUAGGUUUUCAGUCCUUGUCUGCUACUGUCAUGGACACAAGGAUUGCGUAAACCAAAAUUAUAAAACUGUUAUUGUGUGAGUUUAGUGUUAUGUAAUUAAUAUAUGUAUAUGUGUUAUUAAAGUUAACUUAAAACA
Molecule: long non-coding RNA, 1944 nt
Organism: Acanthopagrus latus (yellowfin seabream)
Lineage: Eukaryota; Metazoa; Chordata; Actinopteri; Spariformes; Sparidae
Exons: 2
Source: RefSeq, a predicted model, not a curated record